GGUUAAGCGACUAAGCGUACACGGUGGAUGCCCUGGCAGUCAGAGGCGAUGAAGGGCGUGCUAAUCUGCGAUAAGCGCCGGUAAGGUGAUAUGAACCGUUAUAACCGGCGAUACCCGAAUGGGGAAACCCAGUGUGAUUCGUCACACUAUCAUUAACUGAAUCCAUAGGUUAAUGAGGCGAACCGGGGGAACUGAAACAUCUAAGUACCCCGAGGAAAAGAAAUCAACCGAGAUUCCCCCAGUAGCGGCGAGCGAACGGGGAGGAGCCCAGAGCCUGAAUCAGCAUGUGUGUUAGUGGAAGCGUCUGGAAAGGCGCGCGAUACAGGGUGACAGCCCCGUACACAAAAGCGCAUGUGCUGUGAGCUCGAUGAGUAGGGCGGGACACGUGGUAUCCUGUCUGAAUAUGGGGGGACCAUCCUCCAAGGCUAAAUACUCCUGACUGACCGAUAGUGAACCAGUACCGUGAGGGAAAGGCGAAAAGAACCCCGGCGAGGGGAGUGAAAAAGAACCUGAAACCGUGUACGUACAAGCAGUGGGAGCACAGGUUUACCUGUGUGACUGCGUACCUUUUGUAUAAUGGGUCAGCGACUUAUAUUCUGUAGCAAGGUUAACCGAAUAGGGGAGCCGGAGGGAAACCGAGUCUUAACCGGGCGUUAAGUUGCAGGGUAUAGACCCGAAACCCGGUGAUCUAGCCAUGGGCAGGUUGAAGGUUGGGUAACACUAACUGGAGGACCGAACCGACUAAUGUUGAAAAAUUAGCGGAUGACCUGUGGCUGGGGGUGAAAGGCCAAUCAAACCGGGAGAUAGCUGGUUCUCCCCGAAAGCUAUUUAGGUAGCGCCUCGUGAAUUCAUCUCCGGGGGUAGAGCACUGUUUCGGCUAGGGGGCCAUCCCGGCUUACCAACCCGAUGCAAACUGCGAAUACCGGAGAAUGUUAUCACGGGAGACACACGGCGGGUGCUAACGUCCGUCGUGAAGAGGGAAACAACCCAGACCGCCAGCUAAGGUCCCAAAGUCAUGGUUAAGUGGGAAACGAUGUGGGAAGGCCCAGACAGCCAGGAUGUUGGCUUAGAAGCAGCCAUCAUUUAAAGAAAGCGUAAUAGCUCACUGGUCGAGUCGGCCUGCGCGGAAGAUGUAACGGGGCUAAACCAUGCACCGAAGCUGCGGCAGCGAACGUAUCACUUAAAGCGAUUCAGCGGGUUACGAUUGACGGAGCGAAGCGACGUCAAAGCGUAUACAAAGUCGAGUCGGUUUAAGGAUACGUUCGUUGGGUAGGGGAGCGUUCUGUAAGCCUGCGAAGGUGGCCUGUGAGGGUUGCUGGAGGUAUCAGAAGUGCGAAUGCUGACAUAAGUAACGAUAAAGCGGGUGAAAAGCCCGCUCGCCGGAAGACCAAGGGUUCCUGUCCAACGUUAAUCGGGGCAGGGUGAGUCGACCCCUAAGGCGAGGCCGAAAGGCGUAGUCGAUGGGAAACGGGUUAAUAUUCCCGUACUUGGUGUUACUGCGAAGGGGGGACGGAGAAGGCUAUGUUGGCCGGGCGACGGUUGUCCCGGUUUAAGCGUGUAGGUGUGUGUUCCAGGUAAAUCCGGUUCACUUUAACACUGAGGCGUGAUGACGAGGCACUACGGUGCUGAAGUAACAAAUGCCCUGCUUCCAGGAAAAGCCUCUAAGCAUCAGGUAACAUCAAAUCGUACCCCAAACCGACACAGGUGGUCAGGUAGAGAAUACCAAGGCGCUUGAGAGAACUCGGGUGAAGGAACUAGGCAAAAUGGUGCCGUAACUUCGGGAGAAGGCACGCUGACACGUAGGUGAAGUGAUUUACUCACGGAGCUGAAGUCAGUCGAAGAUACCAGCUGGCUGCAACUGUUUAUUAAAAACACAGCACUGUGCAAACACGAAAGUGGACGUAUACGGUGUGACGCCUGCCCGGUGCCGGAAGGUUAAUUGAUGGGGUCAGCGCAAGCGAAGCUCCUGAUCGAAGCCCCGGUAAACGGCGGCCGUAACUAUAACGGUCCUAAGGUAGCGAAAUUCCUUGUCGGGUAAGUUCCGACCUGCACGAAUGGCGUAAUGAUGGCCAGGCUGUCUCCACCCGAGACUCAGUGAAAUUGAACUCGCUGUGAAGAUGCAGUGUACCCGCGGCAAGACGGAAAGACCCCGUGAACCUUUACUAUAGCUUGACACUGAACAUUGAGCCUUGAUGUGUAGGAUAGGUGGGAGGCUUUGAAGUGUGGACGCCAGUCUGCAUGGAGCCGACCUUGAAAUACCACCCUUUAAUGUUUGAUGUUCUAACGUGGACCCGUUACCCGGGUUGCGGACAGUGUCUGGUGGGUAGUUUGACUGGGGCGGUCUCCUCCUAAAGAGUAACGGAGGAGCACGAAGGUUGGCUAAUCCUGGUCGGACAUCAGGAGGUUAGUGCAAUGGCAUAAGCCAGCUUGACUGCGAGCGUGACGGCGCGAGCAGGUGCGAAAGCAGGUCAUAGUGAUCCGGUGGUUCUGAAUGGAAGGGCCAUCGCUCAACGGAUAAAAGGUACUCCGGGGAUAACAGGCUGAUACCGCCCAAGAGUUCAUAUCGACGGCGGUGUUUGGCACCUCGAUGUCGGCUCAUCACAUCCUGGGGCUGAAGCAGGUCCCAAGGGUAUGGCUGUUCGCCAUUUAAAGUGGUACGCGAGCUGGGUUUAGAACGUCGUGAGACAGUUCGGUCCCUAUCUGCCGUGGGCGCUGGAGAACUGAGGGGAGCUGCUCCUAGUACGAGAGGACCGGAGUGGACGCAUCACUGGUGUUCGGGUUGUCAUGCCAAUGGCACUGCCCGGUAGCUAAAUGCGGAAGAGAUAAGUGCUGAAAGCAUCUAAGCACGAAACUUGCCCCGAGAUGAGUUCUCCCUGAGACUUAGAGUCUCCUGAAGGAACGUUGAAGACGACGACGUUGAUAGGCCGGGUGUGUAAGCGCAGCGAUGCGUUGAGCUAACCGGUACUAAUGAACCGUGAGGCUUAACCUU
RNAcentral lists this ribosomal RNA (2989 nucleotides) under Salmonella enterica subsp. enterica serovar Pullorum. RNAcentral describes it as "23S ribosomal RNA". It matches the Rfam family "Bacterial large subunit ribosomal RNA". The record is from RNAcentral. RNAcentral also lists the same sequence under 5 other names. Lineage: Bacteria; Pseudomonadati; Pseudomonadota; Gammaproteobacteria; Enterobacterales; Enterobacteriaceae.